CUCCAGCUAGUUUCCAAGGUGACAGUGAGCAUCAUUGUUCUAGCUUGGUGAAAGACGUCAGCUGGAAAAAAUAUUCACAAGCUGCUGAUGACCCGUCCCACCCCAAGCCUGAUGGUUAAGGAGAGGAUGAUUCUGAGAAGCAGAGGGGCCACCACCGUGAGAUUCUGUAGUGGAUUCAACUCUACACACCACAAAUAAAGUGGCCCCGCAGCAUCUGCUGCAUGGAGCACGCACAGAAUGACGCAUGAGGGUUUGCAUGGUCAGAACACAGCUUCAACUGCCUUUUGCAAGGUCAGAUGCCGCCUUUUUUAUCUCGUCAAUAUAAAUUCCUGAAAUGCAUUGCUUUGUAGUCUCUCUUCUGUCUUGUUUCCAUAAUCUAGACUAGUCACUGACUUCUGACUUCAAGUACUGCCUGUCCAUUAUGCCCCACUUCUCACUUUGCUAUCUCUAGAUUCAAUCCCGUUAUACUUCAGGCAAAUUCAAUUUAUCUUCUGCAUUUCUAUUGCAACCGAUAGAUACAUCUGUCACAAUAUACAUUCUGUGUAACUGACAGAGAAUUAGACUUAAAACGCCAUGAAGGCAAAGAAAAUCACUGUUCACUUUUAAACUCCAGCUUCCUGAAAAGGCCCCAGUACAAAUAUCCAGUUGGUUAUUUUAAAUUGAAUGAUAUGUACUCAGAUCAGAAUUGAGCAGGAGAAAAGCAAUAUGUUUUCAGAAUCUCAGGAAUGGAGUUGAAAUGCUAGGUUUGUAUUUAAAAUCUAAAUUCAACAAGUAUACACUUUAUCUAGAGAGAACGCUAUAAUGGAUGCUAAGGAAGCCAUAUAAAUUCAUUCAGUGAAUAUCUGUUUAGCAUUGACUUCAUGUUAUCAUUUCUCUAAACAUUGCAGAAACAUCACUGAAAAUUUUAAUCUCUGACAUAAAUUGACUAUAUGACCUAAGCCCUCACUAAUCAUCUUCUUUCCUACUGUGUCUUAAUUAAUCAGAACUACAGUUAAGAGCACAGGAGAAGACUCCUUCGACCCAUUCAUUUCUCCAUAGUUGAUGGAAUGCUUCUCAGACUCUAUUUCUGAGAGCAGAGUCUAAUUCAUGGGGUUAGAGGAAGAACUAGCAGUAAUACUUUCAAAGAAGCCUGCAUACCUCGAAGCAGGGAUAAUUAAGCAUAGAGAAAGAAGCAUACUGCAAGUCUUUCUGUAUCUUGCUAUAGCAGCUGUCUAAACACGGAGUUUGGUUCUAAGUUUGCCUAAUUGAUGAAAAAACAAGGAUCCCUGGAUAGUAGCAAAGGCACUUUGAAGGCACAAAUCCUUGUUUAUGCUCCAUAGGAUAUUUUAUUAGAUCCUUUUGUGUUUCUCACAACACUUAAGAGAGUGUUUCAUGCAGAGGUUAAAUAUAUAUAGACCCAGUGAAUUGAUGAAUAAAUUGCUUUUAUUUUACAAGAUAAUUGGAAGUGUAAGUUCACUUGUCUAUCUUAUUAGCCAUGAAAGAAAUUGCAGGCUUUCUUGAAAUGCUAUUGUUAAACUUGAGUUCCACCAACUUACAUAAGACUUUUUAAAUUCAAGGAAAGUAGACUUCACAUAAACUACCUUUUAACUAAGUAGGAUGGCUACCAUUUAAGCACUACGGCUCUGGUUUUUUUUCCACAUGUAUUUUAUUAAUCAUUCUAAACACAUUUGUUUCAUUCCACAGAAAUGAGCAGCUCACCUUCCACCUUUGAGAAAUUACUGUUAAUCAUUCUUGAAUGAUUCCAUUUAAAGCAUUCCCCUGUGGUUUUACAAUCCCUUCUGCCCACUAAUCUGGGAAGAACGAUGUGCAAAAAGGAAAUACAGAGAAGCAAAUAGCUGUUCUCGUGAAUCGUCAUUAUAAGCCUCGUCAGCAACAGCAGAGUUUCUCAACUGUUCUUUAAGAGUCCGAUAAAUCUGUAAACAGAGAAUCCACAACAGUGGGCUUGAAAUCCAUCCAAGUGAUGAUAAAUGCAUGCUAUGGGAUAGAAGAUGCUUUUAUAUCCAUGAUUCAUGCUUUAUUCCUGCAUCCUACCCAUCCUGACUGAUAGAACAACAUGAUUAAAACUUGAUAAUGACAAAAGAAUGAUAGGUAAUAUGUCAGACAAGAAAUGGGAAGUGAAUAUGCAUAUAAUUUCUUAGGACCUAUAUACGGCUUUCUGGCUAGUCAAAUUUACUCAGCUAAUUAAAGAUAUCAUAUCUUGUGAGUAAAUGCAUUGAUGAAUACUGUUAAGUACUGUAUUUGAUAUAGACUCCAAUCACAUUUCUGAGUAUUUCUUAGAUAUCUGGAAGCUUGGGGUUAUAUAAGUAAAAUAGUCAAGUGUUUUAUCACAGUUCAUCAUCAUCCUGUUGGUGCAUCAUUCUUUGCAUAUAAUAUCUGUCUGUGUGAAUUGGGCAAGUACUUCCUAUGACAUCCAGGGAACAUACAUCCGUAAUACAAGGUGUCCAUGAUCAUGCUUCUUCUUUUUAUAAGCAAGUGCUAAAAUUUACGUGAUUAAAGGCAGAUUAAUUGCUGUUGAAGACAACACUUAUGUAUCUCAUUGAGCAAUGAGAAGUUGAGCUGGUGCCUAACUAGAGCCUUCACCCCUGCUGACUAGUGUUCAUGGCAGAGGAAGGUAUUGUUCACACUACCAGAGAAGAAACAAACACCGAUCCAGCUACAAACCCUUUGAUCUACAAUGGUGACCUGUCUUCAGGACACACUGGCUUAACAGUGGCACAAAUGUUGUAAGAGUAACAAACCACUAUCUGUUGGAAUAAGGGCUCACUCCAUGAGAUGGAUGGAACCCAUGCCUGACACUGCUGGAGUGACCAAGAACCUGAGACCAGACAGACCUACUAGAAGAAAAUCCUUAGAAGAAUUGUUCUGCUAACAGAACAGCACUAUUGGAAUCCUGAUGACAGUCUGCUGUAUGCAGAGGUCUAUUUUGAAUACCUGAUUAAAAGUCACUAAUUACAUAAAAACAUAGAAAAUCUAAGGAAAGACUUCUGAUUUGUCAACAGUUACACUCAUGAAGAGUUACAUGAAGAAGGAGGAUAUAUGAAUGGAAUACAUGAUACAGCUAUCCACUUCAUUGAUCUCCCCAACUUGGCUGAUACAGCAUGAGAAAUAAGUGUGCAGUAGGGCUACUGGAGGGAGCUCAUUGCAUUCCACAUGUUUAUGCAUGAGAAUUGUUUAUACACUGUGCUUGCCAAUUAAAAUAUAUGAACAACUAAAUUAAAAUUUAAGAGACGAUGCAAAAAGGCAGAAAACUUGCAGAAAGUUGCUUGACGUACACCAACACAAGUAGCCAAAUAUCCACAAUAUAACUAGUAAUAAUUUUCCAAAACAAAAGCCAGGAACAUCACAACUAGAAUAAGAAAAGAGAAUAGCUACCACCAUUGACAGAUUGAAAUUUUCUAACGAAUAUUUCAUCAUACUCAUUAAAAUAGUUAUCAGCACCCUUGAAACAAAGAAAAAAGUAUAAAAAUCUAAAUAAAGCAUAAAUUAUAGAAUUAACAAAUACAUUAGUUAAAAUAAAAGUUCUCUAGAGAAACUUGACAGGGGAAUAGAUAUGACAAAGAAAAAAGUCAACAAAUUUGAAGAGAAAACAACAAAUUGUUCAAUAACUAAGUAAGAUAAAACACACAAAUGUAGCCAGGGCUUCUGAAAUUUGUACACCAAUAAGGAAAGAUUGAAUGUUUAUGUCAGCACAUUCUCAAGAGAAGAGCCAAAAAGGAGAGCACUAGAAGUAGUACUUGAUGAAAUAAUUGCUCAAUAUUUUCUGAAUUUUGUCAAACAUAUUAAACAUAUGUACUUACAAUUUCAAAAAUAUUUAACAAGCCUCAAAUAAAGUAAAGUUUUUUUUAAAAAAAAAGUAUUUCCAAGACGUUUUAUAACUGAAACUCUAAACACACACACACACACACACACAAACACGCACGCACCUUGAAAGUAGCUGGGGUGAAACAAAACAUUACCUUCUGCUUAACUCGCAAGCUGAUUACUUUCUCAUCUGAGAACAAGGAAAUCAGAAAUAACUCUGACAUUUUUCAACUGAAAGGAAGAUGAAGAGGAUAAGGAGGAGGAAGAGGAGGAGAAGAAAAGAAAGAAAUUACUUUCAAAUGUGUUCUCCAAGAAUUAGGUCAAUGCCAAAGGAGAUGGCUUGAAAUGUAAGUUGCACAGCUUUUCCAGAGGAGUCAAGUUUGGUUCUUAGCAUUCACUUCAGAUGGUUCACAACUGCCUGUAAUUCCAGCCAAGUGGUUCCAACAUCCUUUUCUGAUCCCAGUGGGUACUCACCUAGGUACAUACAUAUAUACAUAAAUCAAAACAAAAUUAACCUUUAGAGAAGGAUCCAUGGGGUGCUGAGAAGAAGGUAUAUUCUUCUACCAGGUUGAUCUCAGUCCGCGGGGAAGGCUUUGCCCUGGA
Peromyscus californicus insignis is the source of this 4404-nucleotide long non-coding RNA. RefSeq lists it as uncharacterized. The transcript is spliced from 4 exons. The record is from RefSeq and is a predicted model, not a curated record. NCBI's taxonomy places the organism in Eukaryota, Metazoa, Chordata, Mammalia, Rodentia, Cricetidae.